RNAcentral lists this ribosomal RNA (455 nucleotides) under uncultured bacterium. RNAcentral's name for it is "bacterial SSU rRNA". It matches the Rfam family "Bacterial small subunit ribosomal RNA", at positions 30 to 504 of the family's 1533-position model. The record is from RNAcentral.
CGAACGCUGGCGGUAUGCUUAACACAUGCAAGUCGAACGAGAAAGUCUCUUCGGAGGCGAGUACAGUGGCGCACGGGUGAGUAACACGUAGAUAACCUGCCCUUUAGUUUGGGAUAGCUCUUCGAAAGGAGGGGUAAUACCAGAUAAUACCAGAUGUCGAAUGUCAUUUGGUUAAAAGAUUUAUCGCUAAGGGAUGGGUCUGCGGACCAUUAGCUAGUUGGUGGGGUAAGGGCCUACCAAGGCGACGAUGGUUAGCGGGUCUGAGAGGAUGAUCCGCCACACUGGAACUGAGACACGGUCCAGACUCCUACGGGAGGCAGCAGUGGGGAAUUUUGCGCAAUGGGCGAAAGCCUGACGCAGCAAUACCGCGUGAGUGAAGAAGGCCCUUGGGUCGUAAAGCUCUUUUCUAAAGGAAGAUAAUGACGGUACUUUAGGAAUAAGCACCGGCUAACUCC